This is a long non-coding RNA of Ahaetulla prasina, 401 nucleotides long. RefSeq lists it as uncharacterized. The transcript is spliced from 4 exons. The record is from RefSeq and is a predicted model, not a curated record. Lineage: Eukaryota; Metazoa; Chordata; Lepidosauria; Squamata; Colubridae.
GAAAUCCUUACUCAGAAGUGUUCUCACUGAGGGGAAGAGAAAGAAUGUGGAGACAGAUGGAGAAAAAUAACAGAAGGAAGGAAGAUUCUGCCAAGAGAAGAACAAGGCCUCACUUGCUCCUAUUCUGUGGGUUUUCAGCUGCAGUUGGAGCACACUAAAAGCCUUCCCUCCAUAGCCCGUUUGAAAGGUUCUUGGAUGAGGUUCUUUUCCAGCCUUGCCCAGUGGGAAUACAAUGGAAAGGGCAAAAAACCAAGAAUCAAACUAAAAUUACUAUAGGAUGCCAAAGAAAGAGGGGAAUUUGGCCUUCCAAAUUGAGAAAAAUAUUAUCAAGCAGCAACUUUGAUGUGGGUACUACAUCAGACGGGCCCUCUUAGACACUUGGAUCAAGACUAAAAGAGGUA